RNAcentral lists this ribosomal RNA (253 nucleotides) under uncultured bacterium. RNAcentral's name for it is "partial 16S ribosomal RNA". It matches the Rfam family "Bacterial small subunit ribosomal RNA", at positions 524 to 776 of the family's 1533-position model. The record is from RNAcentral.
UACGGAGGGUGCAAGCGUUGUUCGGAAUCAUUGGGCGUAAAGCGCGUGUAGGCGGUUGCCUAAGUCUGGUGUGAAAUCCCGGAGCUUAACUCCGGAAGUGCACUGGAUACUGGGUGACUAGAGGACGAGAGAGGAGAGUGGAAUUCCUGGUGUAGGGGUGAAAUCCGUAGAUAUCAGGAGGAACAUCAGAGGCGAAGGCGACUCUCUGGCUCGUAUCUGACGCUGAGACGCGAAAGCGUGGGGAGCAAACAGG